RNAcentral lists this ribosomal RNA (253 nucleotides) under uncultured bacterium. Its description in RNAcentral is "partial small subunit ribosomal RNA". It matches the Rfam family "Bacterial small subunit ribosomal RNA", at positions 26 to 280 of the family's 1533-position model. The record is from RNAcentral.
AGGACGAACGCUGGCGGCGUGCUUAACACAUGCAAGUCGAACGAUGAACCUCCUUCGGGAGGGGAUUAGUGGCGAACGGGUGAGUAACACGUGGGCAAUCUGCCCUUCACUCUGGGACAAGCCCUGGAAACGGGGUCUAAUACCGGAUAUGACACACGACCGCAUGGUCUGUGUGUGGAAAGCUCCGGCGGUGAAGGAUGAGCCCGCGGCCUAUCAGCUUGUUGGUGGGGUGAUGGCCUACCAAGGCGACGAC